GACGAACGCUGGCGGCGUGCUUAACACAUGCGAGUCGAACGGAAAGGCUCCAGCUUGCUGGAGUCCUCGAGUGGCGAACGGGUGAGUAACACGUGGGUAAUCUGCCCUGCACUCUGGGAUAAGCCUGGGAAACUGGGUCUAAUACUGGAUAUGACCUUUCUCCUUAUGGGGUUUGGUGGAAAGUUUUUCGGUGUAGGAUGAGCCCGCGGCCUAUCAGCUUGUUGGUGGGGUGAUGGCCUACCAAGGCGACGACGGGUAGCCGGCCUGAGAGGGUGAUCGGCCACAUUGGGACUGAGAUACGGCCCAGACUCCUACGGGAGGCAGCAGUGGGGAAUAUUGCACAAUGGGCGGAAGCCUGAUGCAGCGACGCCGCGUGAGGGAUGACGGCCUUCGGGUUGUAAACCUCUUUCAGCAGGGACGAAGCGUAAGUGACGGUACCUGCAGAAGAAGCACCGGCUAACUAUGUG
RNAcentral lists this ribosomal RNA (467 nucleotides) under uncultured bacterium. RNAcentral describes it as "partial 16S ribosomal RNA". It matches the Rfam family "Bacterial small subunit ribosomal RNA", at positions 28 to 507 of the family's 1533-position model. The record is from RNAcentral.